RNAcentral lists this ribosomal RNA (451 nucleotides) under Streptococcus mitis. RNAcentral describes it as "bacterial SSU rRNA". It matches the Rfam family "Bacterial small subunit ribosomal RNA", at positions 36 to 467 of the family's 1533-position model. The record is from RNAcentral. Lineage: Bacteria; Bacillati; Bacillota; Bacilli; Lactobacillales; Streptococcaceae.
GACGAACCUGGCGGCGUGCCUAAUACAUGCAAGUAGAACGCUGAAGGAGGAGCUUGCUUCUCCGGAUGAGUUGCGAACGGGUGAGUAACGCGUAGGUAACCUGCCUGGUAGCGGGGGAUAACUAUUGGAAACGAUAGCUAAUACCGCAUAAUAGCAGUUAUUGCAUGAUAACUGUUUGAAAGGUGCAAUGCACCACUACCAGAUGGACCUGCGUUGUAUUAGCUAGUUGGUGGGGUAACGGCUCACCAAGGCGACGAUACAUAGCCGACCUGAGAGGGUGAUCGGCCACACUGGGACUGAGACACGGCCCAGACUCCUACGGGAGGCAGCAGUAGGGAAUCUUCGGCAAUGGACGGAAGUCUGACCGAGCAACGCCGCGUGAGUGAAGAAGGUUUUCGGAUCGUAAAGCUCUGUUGUAAGAGAAGAACGAGUGUGAGAGUGGAAAGUUCAC